This 298-nucleotide signal recognition particle RNA is filed under the name Macaca nemestrina (pig-tailed macaque). RNAcentral's name for it is "Metazoan signal recognition particle RNA (ENSMNEG00000010336.1)". It matches the Rfam family "Metazoan signal recognition particle RNA". Rfam says of the family: The signal recognition particle (SRP) is a universally conserved ribonucleoprotein. The record is from RNAcentral. Lineage: Eukaryota; Metazoa; Chordata; Mammalia; Primates; Cercopithecidae.
GCUGGGCGUGGUGGUGCAUGCCUGUAGUCCCGGUUACUGGGGAAGCCGAGGCAAGAGGAUUGUUUGAGCCCAUGAGUUCUGGGUUAUAGUGUGCUACGCCGUUCUGGUGUCUGCAUUAAGUUCGGCAUCAAUGUGGUGUCCUCCUGGGAGCAGGGGACCCCCUGUUUGUCUAAGGAAGGUGAACUGACCCAGGUUGGAAGGAGGGCAGGUCAAAACUGCUGUGCUGAUCAACAAUGGGAUUGCACCUGGGAGUAGCCACUGCACUCCAGUGUGGUUGACAUGGUGAAGCCCUGUCUCU